CUUCAGUAAAGAAGCAUGCAACACUCACUGUGUCCUGGUUACAUAAAAAAAACUCUUAUUGAAAUAUGUCACAGAUUUAACUCUGGCGUCGAGGAUUAAACUCUUCUUCUGCAUUGUUCCAGGGAUCAGUGGAGCACCAGUUGGCUGACACAGCACAAUUGUGGGGUUAAAAAAGGAGCAACUCAUUCAGACUGCCAGUACCACCUAACCUGAAUUAAAGGAGCACUUGCAAAAAAGACCGCAACAGUGUGGCAUGCCCCCACUCAGCCAGAAGAUGAGGAUAAUGGGAAGAUGGAGCAUCCACACAAGUGUCUCCUCCUUGAAAGCGGUGUCCUGCUGUUUUUAGCAGGCCAAGACACAUGCGCCACAAGAAACCCUGCCAGGAUGUGCACACCAGACCACACGUUUCUCCACCACAAUGGUGCAUUUUGGAUAUCUCUUCAAGGCCACUACUUCAACUAUUGGAGAGUCCUCCAUCAAGGUCACCACAUUCACCACAGCUGCCUGACCCAACAAAUCAGGACGACAAGCGGCAGGACCACCAUCAAGACUCACAAAUGGUGGAAAUGUUUGUGUUAAAUUUAGAGUCAAUCAGUCCACCACAAACACCACCACCACAUGUGAGUAUGCCACCAAGAUAACCUGCACCACAAAUCAUCCACCCGUCACCACAAGUACAGACACAGGAUCAGGUGUUUUUGAGCACUUGGACAUCACAGCAGGCAAAUAACCCAGAUUGUCUGCGUAGACAGACUCAAUUUAUUGGAAGUCUGGCCCAUCAUCUACACAGAUUGAGUUGCAAUAUAAGCAGACAAAAUGUUCAAGUGACUAGAAUUGCUAACACACUAGAAUUAAUGCGAGCAGACAACACACAUAUGAUGGACACAUUCCAGAGAAUAAUAACACACUAGAAUUAAUGCGAGCAGACAACACACAUAUGAUGGACACAUUCCAGAGAAUAAUGGAUGAACAACACAGACAGCACCAAAAUUAACUCCACAUUUUGGAUAACAACCAAAUAUAGCUCCAGAGCAUCAGUUGCAUUAUGUAGAGUCACACUGCAGCAACAAGAGACCUCAAUGCUACACUGAGUAACCUGAGCCAGCACCUCACAAAACAACAAGGUAAACAACAGCUCAGGAAAACCAACUCCAUUAAAUUCCCCAGUCACCUCCCCACCAAGGCGCUACACCCGUACACGGCCAGACAUCACUGGAAAAGGAGCAUCUGCCUCCAAAGGUGCCAAAAAAUAGAAUGGGGACUGGGAGUUUAUUCUGUUUGGUAAAAAAACAACAUAUUCAGUUGAAAUGUAUCAAGGACAGAGUAAAUGCCAUGUUUUAUUGUUAUGUGGUUUGUCAGCAACAUUAUGUUGGUUGAAACCAACAAAAAACACAAAGAACAUAAGUAAAUGCCAUGUUUUCUUGU
This is a long non-coding RNA of Pseudophryne corroboree (corroboree frog), 1425 nucleotides long. RefSeq lists it as uncharacterized. The record is from RefSeq and is a predicted model, not a curated record. NCBI's taxonomy places the organism in Eukaryota, Metazoa, Chordata, Amphibia, Anura, Myobatrachidae. The transcript is spliced from 4 exons.